Molecule: ribosomal RNA, 403 nt
Filed under: Rhipicephalus sanguineus (brown dog tick)
Lineage: Eukaryota; Metazoa; Arthropoda; Arachnida; Ixodida; Ixodidae
Description: partial 16S ribosomal RNA
Source: RNAcentral
AAAUUGCUGUGGUAUUUUGACUAUACAAAGGUAUUGAAAUAAGAUUUUAAUUGAAUGCUAAGAGAAUGGAAUUUCAGAAAAAAACUUUUUUCAAGUUAAAAAUUGAAAUUUUUUUAAUUUGUGCAGAAACAAUUAUUAAUAUUAAGGACAAGAAGACCCUAUGAAUUUAUAAAUUUUAUUUAAUAUGUAACUACUAUUGAAAAAAUUUUAGCUGGGGCGGCGGAAAAAUAUUUAAAACUUUUUUAAAAUAAAAUGACCCAUUAUUAAUGAUUAUAUGUUAAAUACUCUAGGGAUAACAGCGUUAUAUUUUUUGAUAGAUCAUAUUGACAAAAAAGUUUGCGACCUCGAUGUUGGAUUAGGAUACUUUUUUAAUGCAGAUAUUAAAAAAGAAAGUUUGUUCAAC